This 459-nucleotide ribosomal RNA is filed under the name uncultured bacterium. Its description in RNAcentral is "partial 16S ribosomal RNA". It matches the Rfam family "Bacterial small subunit ribosomal RNA", at positions 338 to 795 of the family's 1533-position model. The record is from RNAcentral.
CCUUCGGGAGGCAGCAGUGAGGAAUAUUGGUCAAUGGACGGAAGUCUGAACCAGCCAUGCCGCGUGCAGGAUGACGGCUCUAUGAGUUGUAAACUGCUUUUGUAUUAGGGUAAACACCCCUACGUGUAGGGGCUUGAAAGUAUAAUACGAAUAAGGAUCGGCUAACUCCGUGCCAGCAGCCGCGGUAAUACGGAGGAUCCAAGCGUUAUCCGGAUUCAUUGGGCUUAAAGGGAGCGUAGGCGGGCGUUCAAGUCAGCUGUAAAAUCGCGCGGCUCAACCGCGCCCCGCAGUUGAAACUGGACGCCUUGAGUUCACAACAGGCAGGCGGAAUUCGUGGUGUAGCGGUGAAAUGCAUAGAUAUCACGAGGAACCCCGAUUGCGAAGGCAGCCUGCCGGGGUGCGACUGACGCUGAGGCUCGAAGGUGCGGGUAUCAAACAGGAUUAGAUACCCUUGUAGUC